This 778-nucleotide ribosomal RNA is filed under the name uncultured Neocallimastigales. Its description in RNAcentral is "partial large subunit ribosomal RNA". It matches the Rfam family "Eukaryotic large subunit ribosomal RNA", at positions 23 to 646 of the family's 3401-position model. Lineage: Eukaryota; Fungi; Neocallimastigomycota; Neocallimastigomycetes; Neocallimastigales. The record is from RNAcentral.
AGAGAGAGACAUGCGCGCAUAUCAAUAAGCGGAGGAAAAGAAACUAACAAGGAUUCCCCUAGUAACGGCGAGUGAAGCGGGAAGAGCUCAAAUUUGAAAUCUUCAAGGUUUUACCUUGACGAAUUGUAGUUUAAAGAAGUGUUUUCUGUUGAAGUUUUGGUAAAAGUUCUUUGGAAUAGGACAUCAUAGAGGGUGAGAAUCCCGUAUUUGACCAUUAUUUUCCAGCUGUGUGAUACACUUUCAGAGAGUCGGAUUGUUUGGGAAUGCAGUCCAAAAUGGGUGGUAAAUUUCAUCUAAAGCUAAAUAUUGGCGAGAGACCGAUAGCGAACAAGUACCGUGAGGGAAAGAUGAAAAGAACUUUGAAAAGAGAGUUAAACAGUACGUGAAAUUGUCAAAAGGGAAGCGUUUGACACCAGUGUUGUUUUCUCGAAAAUCAAUUAAAAAGAGCUGGAUUUUGUGUUGUAUUGACCUUUAAUCAGCUUCUGCAUCUCAAUUUUCUUGUCUUUUUUAAUGCACUUUUCGUUUAACAAGUCAACAUCAGUUUCUUUUGUUGUAAAAGGUCAUUGGAAGGUGGCUUUCUUUUCGGAGAAAGUGUUUAUAGCCUUUGCCUAUGCAAUCGGAGAGAUUGAGGUCUGCAGCGUAGAUCCUUCGGGGUUAGAUACAUUUGUGCUAAGUUAUAGCCUUUUCAUAGACAACUUGUUGACUAUGAUCAGUCAUGUAGCUUACUCGCUUAUGCUAUUUUACCUACGCUUAGGAUGUUGAUGUGAUACUGCGAGCA